This 252-nucleotide ribosomal RNA is filed under the name uncultured prokaryote. RNAcentral's name for it is "partial 16S rRNA". It matches the Rfam family "Archaeal small subunit ribosomal RNA", at positions 475 to 726 of the family's 1478-position model. The record is from RNAcentral.
ACCGGCAGCUCAAGUGGUGGCCAUUUUUAUUGGGCCUAAAGCGUUCGUAGCCGGUUUGAUAAGUCUCUGGUGAAAUCCCGCAGCUUAACUGUGGGACUUGCUGGAGAUACUAUUAGACUUGAGGUCGGGAGAGGUUAGGGGUACUCCCAGGGUAGGAGUGAAAUCCUAUAAUCCUGGGGGGACCACCUGUGGCGAAGGCGCCUAACCGGGACGGCCCUGACAGUGAGGAACGAAAGCCAGGGGAGCGAACCG